AACAGCGUAAUUCAGAGGAAGAAUGCGAGGCUCAUAUUACGUAACGCCAAUGGCGUUCGGUUUGAUCACCUCGAAGUCAUGGGAUCGAAACCCAUCGCUGUUA
RNAcentral lists this transfer RNA (103 nucleotides) under Cryptococcus amylolentus CBS 6039. Its description in RNAcentral is "tRNA-Met". It matches the Rfam family "tRNA". From Rfam's summary of the family: Transfer RNA (tRNA) molecules are approximately 80 nucleotides in length. Their secondary structure includes four short double-helical elements and three loops (D, anti-codon, and T loops). The record is from RNAcentral. Lineage: Eukaryota; Fungi; Basidiomycota; Tremellomycetes; Tremellales; Cryptococcaceae.